AUGCUGCCUAUCACCACUGAGACCCCAGCUCAGCAGAAGACCCCUACAGCCUACAGCCUCCAACCACACUUCACCCCACCCCUUCAGCCAGCACCAGAUUUGUUGGGUCCCCCAUGGGCCUCAGAAAAACAUCAGUGCAGCACCAGGUUAGCUGGAGAACUGGCACAGAUGUUCUUGCCCAGGGUCCUAAGUCAGCAGUGGGCUAGUUACGUGCAUGGCUGUAUAGCAGAGUGCUCCUGGCACACCCGAGCGAUGUAUUUUGGAAAUGGUACAGAGCUGUCAGUAGAGCCUGAACUCCAAGAACCUUCUAUGCCCUCAGUCUUUGUCAUGAAAAAUGGGACCAAUGUUGCAUGUUUGGUGAAGGACUUCUACCCCAAGACUGUGGAUAUACAUCUCGAUCCAGAAGACAAUACAAAAGAAGGAGCGGUCACCAUUGCCAAUGGGAAGUUCAGCGCUAUCAAGCUUGGCCAAUAUAAGAAAGAUUUGGAACAAAUUAACUGUAUAGUUCGGCAUAACAAUAAGACCAUGGUGGCUUCUUACAAAAGGCCCUUUGAGAAGAGUUCAGACCUAAAGAAAGACAGUGACCAGGAAUUAUCUUCUCCAAAGUGCCACAAACCCACAGUGCAAAUUGAGAAAUUGAACUUGCUGUCCAUCACCCUGCUGGGGCUCCGUGUGCUGCUCGCCAAGAGCAUUGCUGUCAAUUUAUUCUUGACUAUCAAGUAUUUUUUACUGUCAGGCUCAUCUACCCCAAAGUGAUCAGAGAACUCAAGGACUCACUGAGAUGUUUUCCCUUGGCUUCCUCUUGCUGUGAUGUAAAUGGCUUUCUGGGUGUCUAUUUUGACCAGAAGGUUUUUUUCUUAACUGCUUUUGCUUUGGAAAAAUUAGACCCAAUUCUUUUCAAAGCCAGGUGGAAAGACAGCCCUGGAGGAGAUGGCUGAUCAUUCCAGUUCUUUGUACAGUUUCUGUAACUUUGAAAAGGAAAAUGAAAUCGUCUCAUCACUUUGACUGUCAGAC
Non-coding RNA from Sarcophilus harrisii (Tasmanian devil), 1014 nucleotides. The record is from the annotation of a RefSeq genome assembly. Lineage: Eukaryota; Metazoa; Chordata; Mammalia; Dasyuromorphia; Dasyuridae.